This 1392-nucleotide long non-coding RNA is filed under the name Homo sapiens (human). Its description in RNAcentral is "HSALNT0365631". Lineage: Eukaryota; Metazoa; Chordata; Mammalia; Primates; Hominidae. The record is from RNAcentral.
UGUAAAAAUGAAUGGCCACUUCCAGGUAUGGCUGAGAAGGGUGAAAAUGCAUGCACCCACAGACACACACACACACCGUGGAAAUGAGGAAAAGUUACUUCUCUCUGUUGUAAAUUUAAAUGCAGUCCAGAGUAGUGAAGGCCGUUUGUAAGGUCUGCUGAGCUAAUGGAUUCAUAAUGACUUUUAAAGCUUCACUCGGUACAUCCUAUGUGCCAGACACUGCGAUAGGUUCUGGAGAUAACAACAGUGUCCAAGAAACAACAGUGUCCAAGAAACAGGACUUUCCCUCAAAGAGCUUACUGGGGAAGCCAGCAAGACCAGCAGACAAACACAGGUGAGUGUGAUAUGUUCUUGGUUGAUGCCUACUGUGAGGGGUGCUUAGGACUGGAGCCAUCGGAAGUGCUGAACCAGCUGGAGGAAUGUGAGAUGGAAAGGGGUAAUUAGUGUGGAGAGAAGUGAAGAAUUACCACAAAAGCUGCACUGGGGGAGAGCCUGCUGAAGCUGCUUGAAUCUCAACACUGUCAUACCCGCCAUCUCAUUAUCUACAGCCACAUCUAAAACCCACAUGAAAUACCAAGUCACACGCGGCUCUGGGAAAGACAUUUUACAGAGACCAUCUUAUGAGUUUUUAAUCUGCCUCCUGAGAACUUACAAUCUAAGAAAUAGAAAACUGAUUCCAGUAAGCAUGCCCAGAAUAUGCUAGCAGCAAGAUUAAAACAUGAAACUAUGAAUGUUAAGAAGAACAAUUUUUAAAAAAUCAUUGGACAUCAAACCAAAACAAAUCAUGGUGCCUCCACACAAUGGGAUAUUCCUCAGCAGUAGAAAGGAAUGGACUACUGAUCACGCAGUAAUGAUGACGAAUGUCAAUGUAAUUAUGCCAAGUGAAAGAAGCCAGCCAAAAGGUGGAGAAGAUGAGUUAAGGACGUUUCAAGCAGAGUUGCCAGCAUGAGUAAGGUCAUGGAAAUUGUGACGGUGACCAUGACCUUUGGAAGUAAUGCAAAGUCCCGUGUGCCUGGAACAUAGAUAGAGAGGGAUGCAGGAGAGAGAGGUGACAGGAAGUGCGACAAUGAGCAUUUGUUGGGAAGAGGCUAUAAAGUUCUUUAACUGCUGUGCUGCUUGAAGAUCUCUCUCCUACCACUUCUGGUGACCUGCUUUGCCUUUCCAAGUUGCCUCAAUUUCCUCUUAACUAUUCCUGGCUUCUCAAGAACUCUCUAUAGCAGAUGAUGAUCCUCCUGUCUCCUGCUCAGCUGCCAAGGAGUUAGGCUCCAGAUUCAGUAUCUGACUCAAUUAAUUUUCAGAAGAGAAAGGCAAAGUGAAUUAAAGUAACAAACCCUACCUGCUGUCACUUAAACGAGGAGAUGUAUUACUUUUUACUACAAUGAUAUUUGCUAC